AGUGAACGCUGGCGGUAGGCCUAACACAUGCAAGUCGAACGGCAGCACAGUAAGAGCUUGCUCUUACGGGUGGCGAGUGGCGGACGGGUGAGGAAUACAUCGGAAUCUACUUUUUCGUGGGGGAUAACGUAGGGAAACUUACGCUAAUACCGCAUACGACCUACGGGUGAAAGCAGGGGAUAUUCGGACCUUGCGCGAUUGAAUGAGCCGCUGUCGGAUUAGCUAGUUGGCGGGGUAAAGGCCAACCAAGGCGACGAUCCGUAGCUGGUCUGAGAGGAUGGUCGGCGACACUGGAACUGAGACACGGUCCAGACUCCUACGGGAGGCAGCAGUGGGGAAUAUGGGACAAUGGUCGCAAGCCUGAUCCAGCCAUACCGCGUGGGUGAAGAAGGCCUUCGGUUUGUAAAGCCCUUUUGUUGGGAAAGAAAAGCAGCAGGUUAAUACCCCGCUGUUCUGACGGUACCCAAAGAAUAAGCACCGGCUAACUUCGUG
This 492-nucleotide ribosomal RNA is filed under the name uncultured bacterium. Its description in RNAcentral is "partial 16S ribosomal RNA". It matches the Rfam family "Bacterial small subunit ribosomal RNA", at positions 29 to 507 of the family's 1533-position model. The record is from RNAcentral.